This 549-nucleotide ribosomal RNA is filed under the name uncultured alveolate. RNAcentral describes it as "SSU rRNA". It matches the Rfam family "Eukaryotic small subunit ribosomal RNA", at positions 594 to 1147 of the family's 1831-position model. The record is from RNAcentral.
CCAGCGUAUAUUAAAGUUGUUGCGGUUAAAAAGCUCGUAGUUGGAUUUCUGUCGAGGAUGGCCGGUCCGCACUUUGUGCGUGCAUCUGGUUCAGCCUUGGCAUCCUCCUGGGGAACGUAUCUGCGCUUAAUUGCGUGGUGCGGUAUCCAGGACUUUUACUUUGAGGAAAUUAGAGUGUUCACGGCAGGCAAACGCCUUGAAUACAUUAGCAUGGAAUAAUAAUAUAGGACCUUGGUCCCAUUUUGUUGGUUUCUGGAACUGAGGUAAUGAUUAAUAGGGAUAAUUGAGGGCAUUCGUAUUAACGUGUCAGAGGUGGAAUUCUUGGAUUACGUUACGACGAACUACUGCGAAAGCAUUUGCCAAGGAUGUUUUCAUUGAUCAAGAACGAAAGUUCGGGGAUCGAAGAUGAUUAGAUACCAUCGUAGUCCGAACCAUAAACUAUGCCAACUAGAGAUGGGCGAUCGUUAUUUUAUUGACUUCGUCCGCACCUUAUGAGAAAUCAAAGUCUUUGGGUUCCGGGGGGAGUAUGGUCGCAAGGCUGAAACUUAA